GGCUUUGUAGCACAGUGGUAAGGAGUGGGGCUUGUAACCGAAAGGUUGCUGGUUUGAUUCCCUGCUGGGGCA
Molecule: transfer RNA, 72 nt
Filed under: Megalops atlanticus (tarpon)
Lineage: Eukaryota; Metazoa; Chordata; Actinopteri; Elopiformes; Megalopidae
Description: tRNA-OTHER
Source: RNAcentral